This is a long non-coding RNA of Pipistrellus kuhlii (Kuhl's pipistrelle), 1182 nucleotides long. RefSeq lists it as uncharacterized. The transcript is spliced from 2 exons. NCBI's taxonomy places the organism in Eukaryota, Metazoa, Chordata, Mammalia, Chiroptera, Vespertilionidae. The record is from RefSeq and is a predicted model, not a curated record.
CUCUCUUUUUUUCCCCUCUCUCUUACACUCUUUCUAAAAAUAAAUAGAAAAAUAACUUCUGGUGCGUAUUUUUUUAAAAAUCAAUAAAGUUUAACAUGAUUUUAUGUAUUGAAAAAAAUAGGCCUGCAGGUUUAUAAUGUUUGGGUAAUAUUUUUCAUUUAGCUCUCUUAAAAUAGUUCUUAGCAGAGUGCUUCGCACAAAGACUAACCUAAUAAAUACUGGUUCUUAAUUAUGGAUCUGUUUAUUGCCAUUUUAAUCUAGUCUUGAUUUUUAAGUAUAAAUUAAAGGCUUCUACAAAAUAUAUAUAUUUAGAACCACUAAUGAUCCUCCAUAAAUGCAACUGGAAGAUAAAUCAUCAGAGAAAUGUAUACUCUUCCCUUGGGUCUUUACAUAGCUCAUUUGUUAACAUCCCAUCUCAGUUGUUGCCAGUUCAGAGAGGCUAUUUUUCUUACCAUUCACAUCUGGCAAUCCUCAAACUUCUGCUCCCUCUUCCAGGUUAAGCUUGCAUAUCCUUCUGCCUUUUAAACCUUCUGAUUCUCCUACCCUCCCUCUCCCUGAAGAAUGAAUUCUUCAGUUCUCUACUCUUGAAUCCAUUAAUUCAAGCAGUUAAUCAUUUAGUAACUUACUUAAGGAGUAAUAGGACUAUCAUGCUGGUCCUCUCUCUACCUUCUUUUUAUCUUUGUAUCCUUAUUAUCAAAGUAUUUAAUUACUUGUUUAUCGUCUGGAUGAUCUACUGGUAGAUGAUCCUUUGUAGAUAAUGUUCACCUAGGUGUAUUAUCUUGUAAAGUUCUAAUCUCUAUCUCUACAGUAGGUCUGGGAUCUGAAAAGACUAGAGUUCUCUCUCAAGAUCGAGAUUGCAUAGUUACCCAGCUGAUUUUGGGAAACUUUUGAUUUUUGCCUAAUGCCUCUCUUAUCCUCAGUUACAAUAUAGUCAAGUUACUGGCUUAGGCAAUACCUUUGGAACUGCUUUUCUCAGUCCCACCUAUUGGGUGAGAGCUUGAUUAAGGCCAAUCUCAAUAAGGCGUAAGACUUGACAAAAGCUAUUAAAGCUGUUAUUUCUAGCACCUGAACAAAACCUUGGUGAGGGUUUAAAAAAAUAAAAAUAGCAUUCUAGAGGACCUUUCAGCUAAAAAUGCUAAGUGAUAAUCAACUGAAAGUAUCAGACCAAAAACAAGGAUGCUG